GAUGAACGCUGGCGGCGUGCCUAAUACAUGCAAGUCGAGCGAACAGACGAGGAGCUUGCUCCUCUGACGUUAGCGGCGGACGGGUGAGUAACACGUGGAUAACCUACCUAUAAGACUGGGAUAACUACGGGAAACCGGAGCUAAUACCGGAUAAUAUAUUGAACCGCAUGGUUCAAUAGUGAAAGACGGUUUUGCUGUCACUUAUAGAUUGAUACGGGCCGCAUUAGCUAGUUGGUAAGGUCACGGCUUACCAAGGCAACGAGGCGUAGACGACCUGAGAGGGUGGACGGCUACACGGGAAGUGAGAAUCGUUCGAGACUCCGGCGGGAGGCAGCAGUAGGGAAUCUUACGCGAUGGGGCAGAGCCUAACGGUGCAAAGCGGGGGGAGUGAUGAUGGUCUUCGGAUGGGAAAGCUCUGUUAGUAGGGGAGAACUAAUGUGUAAUUAACUAUGCACGUCUUGACGGUACCGAGUCAAAAAGCCACGGCUAACUACGUG
This 497-nucleotide ribosomal RNA is filed under the name uncultured bacterium. Its description in RNAcentral is "partial 16S ribosomal RNA". It matches the Rfam family "Bacterial small subunit ribosomal RNA", at positions 28 to 507 of the family's 1533-position model. The record is from RNAcentral.